GGCCGAAGAGGAAAUAACAUACAGUACUGUUACGCACAAGAGAAACACUUCAAGCCAGAGUUCACCUGCGGAGAGUGCGGUGGACGUGGUAUAUAGUUCUGUGAUCCCCAUGAAGCAGCAACAUGUACCAAUGGUUGAAGCGAAUGAUGAGAACGUCACAUACAGCACAUUGGCUUAGCUCCAGCACAGCUUAGCAUAUUCAACCACUGCUUGUCUAUUUAUCUUGUAAACUAGUCUGGUUAUUGGUAUUAUUUGGAGAUAACAUUACUAAGAAGCAUUUCCCUGUGUUUGACGAAACUGUUGUCAACAUGUUAACAGUAUUAUUUGUUAGGCCUAAUGCACACGUAAGUCGUCUUGACUCAAAGUGCAUUUACAAACAUUUGUAAUUAUAUUUCAUAACAUGUAAUCUCCUGUCCUUGUUUCAAAUUUCAAUGUGUAAAUGUUUCUAACUGUACUAUAUUAAUAAUAUUCAUUAUUAUAUUGUCAUAAUAUUCAAUAUCAUAUUGUCUUGAAACACCAACCACUGCUUAUGUGCUGCCAUCAGACAUCCUGAUGGUAUAAAACCACUGGAAAUGUUAAAAUAGCACAAUACUGCUACCUAAAGUGUCAAAUCAGUUCAUAUCUUGUAAUGUUCAAAGCUUCCCUUUUAUAGAGUUGCUUUUCAGUUUACAAGUCAGUUUGUAUUGUAAGGUAAAAUGAAUAAUGGCUGAAUUAAAUUGAGCUGCUUCAG
Molecule: long non-coding RNA, 730 nt
Organism: Gymnodraco acuticeps
Lineage: Eukaryota; Metazoa; Chordata; Actinopteri; Perciformes; Bathydraconidae
Exons: 3
Source: RefSeq, a predicted model, not a curated record